Long non-coding RNA from Gorilla gorilla gorilla (western lowland gorilla), 5017 nucleotides. RefSeq lists it as uncharacterized. The record is from RefSeq and is a predicted model, not a curated record. NCBI's taxonomy places the organism in Eukaryota, Metazoa, Chordata, Mammalia, Primates, Hominidae. The transcript is spliced from 9 exons.
CCGUGCCUGACAGGUGGACUGUGCCCCAUAUAGGAUGGAUACGAUUCUACUGUGAUGAUGGCACACUCCGUCUCACUCACAACUUCGGGGAACAUGGCCUGCUCAGGUUCUGGCAUGUCAUUUCUGGUCAGCAGCCCCGCCCCUCCUUGCCCUGUCCUGUUCUGCCCAAUUCUGCCCCACUCUAUCUUGCUCCCUUCGAAAUCUAUGGUGCUGAUGACCGCCUGUGAGAGGCUGGGAAGGGGAGUGUCCGUUUGAGCUGGAAGGCUGCCUGGAGGAGGUGUGGCUUGAACUGGGGUUGAGCAGUGGGGAGGAUUUGGAGAGCGGAGGAAUGAAGGAGAGCGGAGAGCAGAGGCUUGGAGGGUCAUGAUACAGUGAUCAAUAAUGAAAUGGUCAUAAAAGGACGUGAUGAGUCAGCCUGGAGGAUUCAAAGAAGGCUUCCCAGAGAGACUCAUGUUCAAGCUGGGCACUGAGGGUAGAUCAGGAGUUCUCCAGGUGGAAAAAUGGGUAGGGGAUUCUGGAAAGAGGCAUGAGGUGCCAUUUGAACUGAGUCCUGCUUGGUGCACCUAAGCCAGAUGGGGAAGAUUUGGAGAAAGAGCAUUUCCAGUGGAGCAAACCGCAUGUGCAAAGGCCCUGAGAAUCUGCAGGCCUGGUUGGUCCCAAGACUGUCCUAAGAAAAGGAGGGCCAUGCUGGGAGCUGGAAGAAACCUGCAGCAGGUUGGAGGUUGAAUGGAGUCCCUUCACAAGUUCUGUCUAUUGGAACCUCAGAAUGUGACCUUAUUUGGAAUAAAGGUUCUUGCAGAUGCAACUAAGCAAAACCACAACGAUUGUGAUAUGCACAGUAAAAUGAAAGCCCAGCUAUCUGAAACCAGGCUAGAAGAAACCGAAAAUACCCACCCCACAAGGAGCCAUGUCCCUUUCGGGGAGAAAUUGUUGCACUCAGAUCUUGGAGAAGACAGAGCCAUGCAAAGUUAAGUUGCUAAAGUGGCUAAAAACAAACAUGGUCUCCACGUGCUAAUUUUUCUCCCUGGCCCCUCCUCCCCACUCCUUACAGUAAACAGCAGUUAUGGGGACUGCAGUCAAAUUCCCUAUUUACUGCCUUUCCUGAGUCAGUUUGUUUUGGGUGAAAACAGUCUCUGAUGCAGCUCUAUUGCACCAUUUCAGCGGCUGUUUAUCAUUUAAAAGGAACAAUUUUAAUACCUACAUUUGCCUUACAGUAUGAGCCAUAAAUGUGAUUUAGGUUUCCCUUUAUAAUAGACUCUACAAACAAUUGCCUAGGCUCCAGAAGAACUGUUUCUCCAAGUGCUGGCCAUGAAAAUGGACAGGCUUUUCCUUUCUUUACAAAAGUUUUCCUUUUUAAUACCUCUUGAAAUUAAUUGAACAAAAACUGGGUAAAUGGGCUGAUUCACACAUCUUCCUUGCUGGGAGUCUGGAGCCUCGCAGCAAUGUCUUGGGAAAGGAUGGGUCUCCCAGAGUGGGCAUGGGAGGAAGGCCCAGGAGGUUGUGCUGCUGAUGCUGUUUGUCCUACUUCCUGCCCCCCUGGGCCCCAGCUUCCUCCUCUGUAAUGGUGGGGUGGCAAUGGUGGUAAUAACAUAGAUCUCUGACAUCAGUGCUACUCAAAGCCAGGUUUGUGGGCUGGCAGCAUCAGCAUCACCUAAGAGCUUGCUAGAAAUGCCAAUUCCCUGGCUCUGCCCAGACUUGCUAAAUCAGGAUCUCUGGAGGUAGGGCCCAGCAAUCUGUACGAGAAGGUUGUCCGGGUAAUUCUAAUACAUGCUAAUGUUUGGGAAGCUCUGACUAUUUGGAAGCAGAGCUAGAAGCCUGUCAGGGGUCAGAGUGAACUGCUGAAAGUGUUUAUGAGCUCCCAUAAUCCAGUGGCAUCCUGGUCCUGGGAACGGUGAGCCCACUGGGUGCUUAGGAUCCAAGUCGGUGAGUGACAAAAGUAAUGGAUCCAGUCUUGGACACCAUAGACUAGACUUGAAAGUUGACAGACUCAGGUGUGUGUCCUGAGAUGGGAAAGAGGACGGUGACAAGUCUGAAAGAUAGAAUCUCUCCUGUUUAUUCAGAGUUGAUGUCUACAUGGUUUCAGAGUGCAGAGCUGGGUAGAACCCCAGGGGAGAGGAGGCAUCCUGGCCAAUGGAAGUGUGCAGGCAGGAGCUUCAGAUUGUGAUCCCCUUUGCCAUUGAAGGGUUUCCUACAUUAGGGAGGGUCCCCAUUGGCCUCAACAUUCCAGGACCUGUUUCCUUUUAGCCUAUACCUCACCUUCUUGUGGCCUCCCUUCCCCAGAGUGGAAGGGUUGUAACCCUGCAAAUGAGGAAAGUCCUUCUGCAUGGACAUGCUGCUUCCUGCUGAGAAAUACCUCCAUUCAGGGGAAAAAUGGGAUUAAUUUUUAGCGGAAGCAGCAGUGGCUGAACAUGCAGUUUUCAAAUUGUUGGCUAUGAUAUUAAGUAACAAGCAGACUCCUGUCCAAAGGAUGUUAUUAAAAUUAACUGUUUUAGCACUACAGUUAGAGUCAAAAACCAAUCUGUCACUCCUAAAUUGGUUUCUUUCAACUGCUAUUUGCGGGUAAAAUGAACAGUUUUAACAAUUACAUCUCCAGUGCAAAUCAUAAACUUGAUUUACAGGAAAACACUUAAUUUACUGCAUUUGACUGUGCACCAGAGCUGCCAAUUAUCUGACUGUAAAUUUCCCCACUUGGUUAUUUGUUUCCUAAACAGCAGCCUUGGCCCCAUUGCCUCCCUCACCUCUGGGCCCAAGGCCCCACCUGGGGUUGCAGACCCUGAUUGGGGUUUUGUCUGUGAAGUGCUGGUGCUCAAAAGCAGACGGGGUCCACAUGGACCCUCUGUCUGUGUUAUUUCAAGUAGUAAAAUAUUGAGUAGAAUAUCACUGCUCUUUAACCUAGUCUGAGCUAGCCAUGAAGGAGGAAGAAUCACAGAAUCUGUGAGCAUAAAGACCGUGGAGAGAAUCAUUCAUUCAUCCAUUCAUCAAACAAUGAUUACGCAGUCAUUUUCCCAGAGCUGGGAGCUAUAGGCUAUGCCGUGAUGGCUGCGUCUCCCAUGGUUCCUGCCCUCAACAAAUUCACAGUCUAAUAGGAAAGACAUGUGCAGUAUUAUUCAAUAUCAUUUUGUGGUAUAAUAAAUUUUCCCUUUAGUUGUUGGCUGUUAAUGAGCCAAAGUGCUGGGGCCCACUGAGAAGUGAUUGUUCUGCUUGGAGGUGCUGGAGAAAAUAGAGAAACUCACAUGCCGUAGUUUUGCAGAAGUUCCAUUUGAACUGAGUCUUGAUGUCUGAAUACGAGCUUUUCAGGUAGAGAAGGAGAGGAAAGGGUCUUUCAGGCAGGGGGAACAGCAUCAGCCAAUUCUUUUUGGCACAGAAGAACAGGGUAUGUUUAGCGAGGGGGUGAAUGGUCUGGCCUGGCAGGAGGGAAGGGGGCAGGUUGGCACCAGGAUGCCGCUUUUAAGGAGUUUAGAGUCUGUUGGAUUUAUAAUCCAAGUCCUUCUCUAGCUAAGCAAAUGGAAGUCCACAGCAUUGAGAUACCCCGUGUAACUCAGGAGAGACUGUAAAUGCCAAGAAGCUAUAGGAUGGAGAAUGGAGGAUAGUUUCCUGGUAUUUUGAGAAGUAAGAAAGCAUAUGCAAACAUAUGUAAAUGAGAUGCAAGCCGGCACCUGCUCUGCAUUGUGUAGUCAGCCAGCUUUCUGCAGCCCUGUGUGUUUCUACAAAGGUGAGAGAGGUGCCUCCUUGUGACUCCAGCUGAGCUAUGGGACAUAUCAGGGGGUUUCAUAAAAAAGAAAAAUUACCCCAAGACUUUCCCUGCCAGGGGCCCUUCUGUUGGAGGAAGUGUCCCCUUGGGAGAGAGAAGAGGACCAGAAUUUAGGCCUCAGAAGGGAAGGAUGAAGCCCCCAAAGUUGCCACCUUCUAGGAAGCCCAGACCUCAGGAUUUUGAGGAGUUGGCUCCAUCAGUGUCAAGAGAAAGAAGAGGUUUGUCAUCUCAGUUGACACAGGGGUGGAGGCCCGUGCGUGAGCCCCUGAAGUUUCUAGGGCUGACUCUUCCUAAUUUUCUGUGUGGCCUUGAACAAAUCCUCUCUCUGGAUGUCACUCUGCACCUAAGAAGCCAGAUACUUCAGAUCAUUCUCCUCUGGGCCUCUGCUCACAGACCUUCCAUCAAGAAAUUCACUACAGUGUGUUGGAACAGUCUAUGUACCUGACUACCCCACAAGGGCUGUUGUAAGGAUCAAAUGGCAUCAUGAAUGGAGGGUACCAAGUCCUGCACCCAGCCUGCAGUGACUAGCACCUGCUCCCUGCUGAACAUGGUGGCUGGGGCUGGACAUGGUCCUUGGGGGUGUGAUCUGAGCAGCCUGCAGCAUUCUGGGCCUUUCAACUGCUGCAUCCUGGUACCAGUCUCAUGCUUCCUGGUACCCUACAGAUGGCUGUCUCCUGGUGGAGUCACCAGGUUGGAGGGGUCCUCAGAAUGCCAACAGAACAGAGCAGCCCUGAGCUCCGGCACCUGUCACUGUGGCUUGACUGAAUACAUAUCUCCAGACCAAGGCAAGCAUCUCUGGCGGAACCCACUGUGGAGAUCCUAAAUUGGCACCCCAUAGAGUGAGCUGUCUGAUUCUACAAAGGCAGUAUUUCUAGGUUUCAAAGGAACUGAAUAAUUUAAAAUGCACAAGACAAAAAGUGGGAUUAAGGUGAUCUGAUAGGCUCUCCAGGCUGGGGUAUCAAUUAUACUCUCAACUCGUAAAGCCUUAUUUGUGAGAUUCGGAAUUUAUUAUCUGUCUGAAGCACUAAUUACCAGGUUUCUCUCUUUUAAUUUUACAGGUCUCUUCUCAGAUUUAUUUUUCUCUUUUUUUCCUCCCACUGGGGACAAAUAGCUUCCAUUCCUGAAGGGAAGUUGCCUGCUUGGAGACGGACAGAGGAAGAUAUUUGGGUUCAGCUUAUCCCCUCUGGGCACUUUGGGGGAAGCAGCAUGGGUUGGGGCAGGAGAACUCUAAUGUGUAUGUGUUAAUAAACUUACUGUUUUCUAAAA